CAAGCGUUUGCCCCUAACAGCACAUUUGGUGCAUUAAUUUUCUCUAAAAAAAACACACACAUUUAUAUGUUUCAACUUGAAAACGGAGGAAAUAUGCUGAGUUUGCGGGGCAAGGUCCGGCGCACUUACUAACAAUUUUGAUGAGACACAUUUGGACACUUGCACUGCCGACAUGACAGCUGAGUGCUCCGGCCACGUUUUUUGGCGCGGUGAUUCUCUACCAGAUAAGAUGCAUACAUAUGUCCGCCUUGCCUUGAGGGGGCAGUCAGUGCAUUCAAUCUUAUUAAAACCUGCGUGCGGAGCCCUAAAAUCCAUUUCGCACAGCUGAAGGGAGGCAAAAACACGUAAAUUUCAUUGAUUUAGUGAUGUCCGAUUUUUCCGGCGAAUAAGGACGAAGAAAAAUAAGAGGGUCUUGGAAAAGGAAGCGCUAGCCUGUGUCUGCUACAUAAGAGUACUAUACAUAUAUCCAUACGAAUAGAGUAUACCCUUUUACCCCACGAGUACCGUGCCUAAUAGUAUACAUAAAUAAAGAGCAAACACAAA
Long non-coding RNA from Drosophila miranda, 543 nucleotides. RefSeq lists it as uncharacterized. The transcript is spliced from 3 exons. The record is from RefSeq and is a predicted model, not a curated record. NCBI's taxonomy places the organism in Eukaryota, Metazoa, Arthropoda, Insecta, Diptera, Drosophilidae.